This 1601-nucleotide long non-coding RNA is filed under the name Rattus norvegicus (Norway rat). RNAcentral's name for it is "long non-coding RNA NONRATT027756". Lineage: Eukaryota; Metazoa; Chordata; Mammalia; Rodentia; Muridae. The record is from RNAcentral.
CCAGUUCUAGCCCAACCUCUAGUCCCACGGAAGGGGAAGACUCCAGGCUGAGCCUUUCACUUCCCAGGGCUUCAAGCACACCUGUCACCUCUGUGGCCCGAAGUUUCUCCAGCUGUACAAUGGGGGGUUAGGGGAGCGUCUAUUUAUUGAGUCUGUUCUGUGCCAAGCACUGGUUAUACACACCCGCAUGCUGGGAGGUGGGGAUUAUGGUUUCCUCCCAUUUCACAGGUGAGGAAACCAAGGGCUGGUUAGAGCCACAUAACCAGAGGUGGCAGAACUGGUCUGCCCUGAGCUGCAGAUCAACCUCCCGAAGGCUAAAGCCUGUGUUCCUCCUAUCAGAAAAUGGUGUUUGGUAGAGCCCUAGCUUUUGGUCCCUAGGCAAAGUGCAGGAGGACGAGAUGGGAGUUUGGUGGUAGUCAGGCUUCAAUUCAAAUCCCAGCUCUGUCACUUCUUAGCUGUGUGACCUUGGGCAAGUUAUCUGACUUUUCUGUUCCCUCAUUAAUAAAAUAAGAACUAUGGAACUGCCUCACAAUAACCAGUGAGAACCAGAUAAGAAAAAGACAUGGAAUGCCCAGCCCAGUGCCUGGCACACAGCAUAGUAGGUGCUCAAUAAAUCAUGUUUCUUCGCCCCCUCCUCAUAAACAUUGCUCCAGUGAACUAUGGUGAGAGCCCAGGGAACUUUAGCUGAGGGCUCCAGAUUUAAAACUCUCAGGACUCAGGAGGUGACUGGGCCUCCAUCACAGCUCGAGGAAGGUGCAUGGCCAGUGGUGGGCUUGAGCCAGGCCUUGGGAUCUGGGAAGAGUGAGUAAAGAAAGGACUUAGAGAGGUGGAAUGCACAGGGGAGGUUACGGCAGUGAGUCAAGUUGUGGAGUGGGCCUUUGGGAGAGACCUACAGGCUGGGAGCCAGAGGAGGACUUGGAUGGGAGGCUAGGCUCAUCUGUGGGUUUGACCCUGAGCUAGAAGCAGGUUUCAGGACCCUGGUAGAGGCACAGGCAGAGGCUUCCCUAUCAAUGGGUCGAAGCAGGUAGGACUUUGAUGCCCAUGCAGUGAGGAGGACUGGUUCUACCAUGCCUGGUGUCCCUGUGCACCAGCUAGAAUGGUGGCAGGAGCAGGUUUGGCCCUGGGAUGGUACAGGGAAUCUCUUGGUGGAUAGCUUGCAGGGAGAGAAGGGGUGAAGGUCCUGGUGCCCUAGAAAAUCGGUGGGAGCCCUAGAUUAUGCAGAGGUUGGAGAUGUCUCUGAGAUCCAGACCAUCUUCAGACCCGUGUUCUGCCCCCAAGGAGGGCAGCCUAGGGAGCCGGCUGGACUACUCACCUCAGUCCAUCCUAGAGGUACAGGCGAGGGGAUGGGGGUCUGGGUACAAGGAGUGAGGAGUCUCUCGUCCUCAGGCCUGGCCUAGCACCCUUCUCUACUGACACACGCAUUUUAUAAACAACUCUAAUACACUGGCAAACUCCUCAGUGACUACGGAGAGGCCAGGUCCAGUCAGUAGGACCUUCCACCCCACAACCUCUACAAGCAAUUUUCAAAUCUUCCACUUUUAAAACAGAAAACGGUUAAACACGCCGUCUUGUAUAUUUUAUUUAAAUAAAAAAAUUACAGC